AGUGAACGCUGGCGGCAGGCCUAACACAUGCAAGUCGAACGGUAGCACAGAGGAGCUUGCUCCUUGGGUGACGAGUGGCGGACGGGUGAGGAAUAUAUCGGAAUCUACCCAAUCGUGGGGGAUAACGUAGGGAAACUUACGCUAAUACCGCAUACGAUCUGAGGAUGAAAGCGGCGGACCGCAAGGCGUCGCGCGAUUGGAUGAGCCGAUAUCCGAUUAGCUAGUUGGUGAGGUAAUGGCCCACCAAGGCAACGAUCGGUAGCUGGUCUGAGAGGAUGAUCAGCCACACUGGAACUGAGACACGGUCCAGACUCCUACGGGAGGCAGCAGUGGGGAAUAUUGGACAAUGGGCGCAAGCCUGAUCCAGCCAUGCCGCGUGUGUGAAGAAGGCCUUCGGGUUGUAAAGCACUUUUGUGGGGAAGAAAAGC
Molecule: ribosomal RNA, 428 nt
Filed under: uncultured bacterium
Lineage: Bacteria
Description: bacterial SSU rRNA
Rfam family: Bacterial small subunit ribosomal RNA
Source: RNAcentral